AUGGUAGGAUAGAGGCCUACCAUGGUGGUAACGGGUAACGGGGUGUUAGGGCACGACACCGGAGAGGGAGCCUGAGAAACGGCUACCACAUCCAAGGAUGGCAGCAGGCGCGCAAAUUACCCAAUCCCGACACGGGGAGGUAGUGACAAUAAAUAACAAUACGGGGUUCUUUAGGAUCUCGUAAUUGGAAUGAGUACAAUUUAAAUCUCUUAACGAGGAACAAUUGGAGGGCAAGUCUGGUGCCAGCAGCCGCGGUAAUUCCAGCUCCAAUAGCGUAUAUNAAAGUUGUUGCAGUUAAAAAGCUCGUAGUUGAAUUUCGGGGUCAGUAGGUCGGUCGUGCCACUGGUAUGAACUGGUUUUACUGAUUCCUCCCUCUUGAAGAACUGUAAUGCCAUUAAUUUGGUGUUGCAGGGAAUCAGGACCGUUACUUUGAAAAAAUUAGAGUGUUUAAAGCAGGCUUUAGCUUGAAUACAUUAGCAUGGAAUAAUGAAAUAGGACGUUUGAUCCUAUUUUGUUGGUUUCUAGGAUUGACGUAAUGAUUAAUAGGGAUAGUUGGGGGCAUUAGUAUUCAAUUGUCAGAGGUGAAAUUCUUGGAUUUAUUGAAGACUAACUACUGCGAAAGCAUUUGCCAAGGAUGUUUUCAUUAAUCAAGAACGAAAGUUAGGGGAUCGAAGACGAUCAGAUACCGUCGUAGUCUUAACCAUAAACUAUGCCGACUAGGGAUCGGAUGAUGUUAAUUUUUUAAUGACUCAUUCGGCGCCUUACGGGAAACCAAAGUGUUUGGG
RNAcentral lists this ribosomal RNA (785 nucleotides) under uncultured Glomus. Its description in RNAcentral is "SSU rRNA". It matches the Rfam family "Eukaryotic small subunit ribosomal RNA", at positions 325 to 1111 of the family's 1831-position model. Lineage: Eukaryota; Fungi; Glomeromycota; Glomeromycetes; Glomerales; Glomeraceae. The record is from RNAcentral.